Molecule: long non-coding RNA, 31207 nt
Filed under: Panax ginseng (ginseng)
Lineage: Eukaryota; Viridiplantae; Streptophyta; Magnoliopsida; Apiales; Araliaceae
Description: long non-coding RNA (PGIN_LNC010271)
Source: RNAcentral
GAAAACUAAUUUAUAAAACAGGGCUAUCUAUUCCACUCUUGUUUCUUCCUUAAUCAGUUUCAAUCAACUCCUCUUCCUAUUCCAUUUCACCGCCUCCUUCCUACACUAAUUCCCAAUUUAUCAUCUCGGUUGAGACAAGGAGAAUGGAAGCUUAAAAAAAAAAUCAAUUCAGCAGUGAGGAAUUUAGUCAGAAGAUAACAAGAAGUCAUAGCAAGCAAGUUUAAGGUAAUACAACUCAACUUUUCAUGAUUAUGAAUGUAAGGUUUAAAUAAAGUGAGUGAGUUAGUUUUUAAAUAAAAAAAAAAUAGUUAGUGAUAUGAAUUGGCUAGCUAUAUAUGCUUAAUCGAAGUGUUAGUAAUUGAUUAACAAAGAUGAGAUUGAAAUAUUACAUCUCAUAAUAGAAUCAAAAGAGUUGAGUUUUGAAAAGUGAAUAAACUAAUUAGUUUACUAAAUAGUUGACUAUAUAUGAAUUCGAUUGUGUAGAAGAUUGUUAUUAAACUGGUAUAGUGCAAAGGAGUAUAGGUUGGGUUGUGAGGAGUAAUAAGGUGGGAAAAUGAGUAGAACAGAAAUCAAACAUCAAGAAAUCUGCGUUUUGAGGAAACGCACACCAAGUGCUUGAUAAAAGUCUUCUGUGGACUGUUUUGGUUAAAAACGAAGAAUUAAGUAAAGCCGAGUCCAAGGUUACAUAUAUAUACACUAUAUGUAGAUAAUUAAAGGAUUUGAGCAAAUCAAAUUAGAACGAAAAGCAAUUGUAAGCCAAAACGAAAAAUCGAAAUAUAGUGUGUCGGGCCACUUAUGGACUAACAUUGGACUGUUUUGGAACUUUUGUGGUUUUGAUUCAUGUCUGAAAUUUAAGUUUUGUAGUAGUAUGUUAUACUCCUAUGAGUUAUGAAAAUAACCCAAUUGGAACGAAGUAAAAAUGAGCUCAAACGAAUUUAUAGUGAAUGUUUUGGUAAAACAUGUUAAAAACUAAGAAAAACAAGUGAACUGCUGCCCCUAAAAUAAAAAUUCGGGGUUAGGUAGGAUGUUCAGAAAAUUCUGGACUUUUGGUAUGUUAUAGUACACUGAAUAAGCUUUCCAUAAACUCUGGAACGGACUAAUUCCGACUUCGGAGCAAAGAGUUAUGACCGUUCAAAGUAGUCGCGUCGAAACUGUCUAACCAACUCGGGGUAGUCACCUUGAACGAAUUUUCUGGAAUUCUGUGUUUAGAAUUUGGAAAAGAUCAAAGAAUAAAAGUUGUAGUCCCGGAAGUUAGCUUCGCCUAGGCUCAAGAAUUGCCUAAAAAUGUUUUAAAACGAAAAAGUUAUGACUGUUUUAGUGAGAGAGGGUACAGCUGGGAAGAAAUUGAAACUGUUAUGAACGUCUACUUUUGACGCAUUAUUUGGGCUGCCUAAUGAACCCGAAUUUGGUGACUCGUACAUUUAAAAAAAUAGUCUCAUAUACUAUAUAUUACAUAUUUAAAAUUCGUUGUAAUCCACUAUACGAGCUAGAAGUAAUGAGGUCGCAAAAUGGGCAUGUUGGAAACAGAGCUGCUGCCCACGGCAGCAGCAGUGGUGAUGUUUGGCAAUGGCUGCGGGCUUUCCUUGGGCUCUCAGCCAACAAAUUUAAAUUGCUUAAAAUGUACGGCUAAUGUUUUACUAUAAUAGCUGAGUAUAUCACCUACAUAAUAUCAAAAUUCCAUAUGAAUAGAUCAAAGUCGUGAGGAGCGAAAAGCUAGCAAAACAAGAGAAAAGAAGAAGGGGUUGUUGCCCAUUAGGCAGCAGUGAACAACAGUAGACAGCAGCAAGAAGCUGCUACAGCAGCGUUGAAGAGCCAUCUUGGCUUCGAAAAUUAGUUCAAUAGUUUACCCAAAAAGUUGAGUUUGUCAUCUCUAGGACACCCCCAAAUCUAGGUACUUCGUUCCCAUAAGACUUGGUGUUCACUUUCCAUUCAUUCAUACUAUCUACCCAAAUAUAAUAAAAUUAAAUCAUAAAACAUCCCUUUAAAAUAGGGUUACAUCAUUAAAUAAACAUCUUCCCAAGUUGUCUAACCUUAAUCAUCAUAUAAGUGCGAAAAUAAAAUUAUUAAAUCACAUCAUUAAUUAAAAGUCUAUCAUCAUAACAAUAAAUGAAAAUUAUAAGUCUACAUCACUUGUACAUUUCCAUUGCUAGUUGAAGGCUCAUCUACCUUCUCAACUUUAGCUGCAACAAUUAUAUUUAACAAGAGUGAGCAAAACAAAUGCUCACUAGGUAUAGCAACGAAUCAACAAGAUAAUAAUAACUACCAAUGAAUAGGCUCAUCAAAACUGAAUAGUACUCUAUCAAUGAUAAUCAAAGACUGAAAUCAAAAUAUGGAAUAUAUGUAUCUGAGGGUCAUAAGACCACGAACUAUGUCUACAGUUGUAAGUAAUCUUUCAACUACAACUUUAACAGUCAUAAGACUAUAAGGACUCCUCGUACUUAGGGGGAUCAACCCUUUAUACAAUGUAUUGUGCACAAUCAUUUCAACGCUAAGCGUAAAUUAUCCCCUAAUAAUAGGGUUGUUCAUCUCAGUAUUUAGAGUACAAGUCCGCACCAAAGUAAGUUUGGUUUGGAUACAUUUCAAGGUUAAUUUAGAAUUCAACGGUCAUCAACUAAGGAUUAGUUGAAUACGAUAUUGAUAACGUCAUGUUAUGGAAUAAUCAUAACUGAAUCGACAUUGUAAAUUAAGAUCAUGCUUUAGGAAUAAACUAAUAGCAUAAACAUCGAAUAAUCAUAACGUACCUUACUUGAACAAUAUUAAGCCAAGGUUAUUUAGAAUUGAGUACUAAGCAUGCAUAACCAAUAGUAAUUUAAACGAUAAAACUUGUUCAACAUGAGUAUAUCAGAAUAUGUAAACUUGCAUGCUAGAUAACAAGUUAAAGACAAGAAUAACUUGUUCAAUAUCAGAAUAAGAUUUAGAAAUCAUAAACAAACUAAAUACAAGAACUUGCUCAAUCGUAAGAAUAAACUUGCACAAUGUAAUAAAUAAACUAGCUCAACGAAAGUGUAGAGUUAGAAAACUUGCUCAAUUGUAAAAGUAGAAUUAAAGAGCUUGCUCAAUGUAAAAAAGAUAAGUUUAGAAACUUGCCUCGAGAAUAAGCUAUAAUAUUAAACUCACGUUCACCUACACAUAGGUUUAGAACCACAAUAUCUCUUAGACAUACUAAAAUACCAUAACAUAUGCAUUUCUAGUUAGACUUGUUAUUUCCGUAUAAGUCUUAUACUACCAUAUACAUUUCAGAAUUUCCAAGUGUUAACAUCACAACACUUAUCUAACAUUCAUUGUAUAAACUAAGUUAUAACAUAACACGUUCAUAACUUAUAAUCAUUUAAAACUUUGAACUACUAACCACCUAACACGAUUCUGUUUUAACCAUGUUAUUACAUGUUUGACACCUUAACACAACCUUAGACCAAGCUAUAGGGGUGUUUCAAGGUCUGCAGUAGUAGCAGAACAAACUGUCUCAGGACAGGGUAUGGCGCAACUGCGCCACACACAGGCCUGGGACCGGUGCAACUACACCGGCACAGCUGCGCAGUUUUUAGCCUUGGCACCAGCGCAGCUGCGUUGGUGCACAGACAGAGGCAGAGACAGCUUUGAACAGUAGCCGACUUUAGCCCCAAAAACACAAAUUUCACCCACCAAACAGUAAUAUGUACACAAAUAAUUGAUAUAAAACUAUCAUAAACAUGUUUGCUAACAUAUUCCUCAACAUAGAACAAUUUACAUCAACUAAAACUAGUUUAAUUUCUCAAAUUUUGCGUUUUCAUAUAAAAACUCAAUUUUUGAUAACCUUCACGAAAAUCAACACUAUAAACACAAUUCAUGUCCAAAUUGCUUCGUUCAAAUUACGUUAUGUUCGUUUCUUAAUGAACUAGCAUAAUCAAGCCUCAAUUACAGUUUAGUAUACGAAUUGACCAUAAAAAUUAGUAUUUACAUAAGCCAUAUGAGAAAAUAUUCAUAACAACAUACACUGUAAUUAUCUUUCCUACUUUUAACUUUAAUUAAAAUACAAAUUCCUUGUUUAAACAUAAACUCUAAUCAUCAUUAACACAGAUAAUCACCAUAAUUAGUUGUAUAGUAACAUUUGAAAGAAAUAGAAUUCACAGAACUUGAGAUUUUAUGUCGUAAAUUCACACACACACACACACACAUAUAUAUGUAUGUAUGUAUGUAUGUAUGUAUGUAUGUAUGUAUAAUAUUGAGAUUAUGAAAAAUUACCUUCAAUUAGCUUGCACAACCUUGCUAAACACAGAAUUUGUUGUGAAAAUUCUUAAGACUCCUCUCCAAUUCAUCUGAAAACUCUCUUCUCUUCUCUCUUCUCAGUAGACUAAACUCUUAGUUAAGUGUAAACAAAUAAACUGAUAGGUUAGCCAUAAUACGUAUACUUAUUAUAAUAUCAGUUACAAAUAAAAUAUAACGUAUCUGUUAUAAAUUUAUUUUAUUUUAUUAUUUUUUAUAAUAAAAUCCAAAAUUUAAAAAUCCAAAAGUCAUAAGGCUUUGUUUGGCAACACCUCUUUAAAAUUUAAAGACUUAAUAUAUUUAAGCUUUGUUUGGCAAAACUAAAUUACACUCCUUUAAUUUAUUUUAAUAAACAAUUUAGUUUAUCAUUCAUAAUCACAUAUUAAUUAUUUGGAUUUCCAUAUCCACAUUAAUCAAAUAAAUUAGUUACACACUAUAUUUUAAUUUAAUAUACCAUUUAAACAAAUAACACAAAAUUAUAAUUUCAUUAUAAUUUUAUCUAAUAAUUUAACAUAUCAUUUUAAAUUAUUAAAUCAACACAACAAUAUAACAUCUCAUGUUAUAUUACAACUCUCUCCAUUAUAAAUCACAUAAAUUUAGAAUUUUAUUAAUUCACAAAUAUUUAGUAACAACAAUCACAUCAAAUAAAAUAUUUAUUCAACAAUUUUUACAAUAAACACAUCAAAUAAAUAUUUACAUAAUUCAAUAAAUAUUUAAAAUUAUAAUUUGAAAUUCCGAAUUGUUACAUCAUUCCCUCCUUAUAAUGAUUCUGUCCCCAGAAUCAAAACUCAAAUAAUCAAAAACACAUCAAAUAAAUAUUUACAUAAUCCAAUAAAUAUUUAAAAUUACAAUUUGAAAUUUUAGAUUGUUACAUCCUUCCCUCCUUACAAGGAUUCUGUCCCCAGAAUCACAACUCAAACAAUCAAAUCGUCACAUUCUUCCCUAAUUACAAAGAUUCUGUCCCUAGAAUCGAAGAUACAGAUUAAACAAAUAACUCAGGGUAAUUCUUUAUCAUUUCCGCUACGAGUUCCCACGUAGCCUCUUCGAUAUUGUGGUUCCUCUAUAUCACCUUCACAGAAGGUAUCACUUUAUUCCAGAGCACUUGUUCUUUCCUGUCGACUAUCUGGAUAGGAAUCUCUUCAUAUGACAAAUCUUUACUGAACUGCAACGGUUCAUACUCGAUCACAUGUUUGUAAUCGGGUUUAUACGGUCGCAACACCGAUACAUGAAAAACGUUGUGAACGUGUUCUAAUUCUGGAGGUAAAGCUACCUCAUAAGAUACUUCUCCCACUCUGCGUAGAAUCUCGAAAGGUCCAAUAAACCCUGUGCUUAGCUUUCCCUUCUUGCCAAAACGAAUUUUUCCCUUCCAAGGAGAAACUUUCAGGAACACGAAAUUUCCCGCUUUAAAUUCACGAUUCUGCCUGUGUUGAUCAACAUACUUCUUCUGUCGAUCUUGAGCAGCUACUAGUGUUGCUCUGAUGAGUUUGAUAAUUUCAGUGGUCUGCUGCACCAGUUCUGGUCCUAGCAGUUGACGUUCACCAACUUCAUCCCAGCAUAGUGGAGUUCUACAUUUUCUGCCGUAUAAUGCCUCGUAUGGCGGCAUGCCAAUGCUUUCAUGGUAACUGUUGUUGUAUGCAAAUUCCACCAAUGGUAGAUGAUCAUCUUAGUUUCCUUUGAAAUUCAUGAUGCACGCUCUAAGCAUAUCUUCUAGCGUCUGGAUUGUUCGUUCGCUUUGUCCAUCAGUUUGCAGAUGAUAUACUGUACUUAUCUUUAGUUGCGUUCCCAUGCAUUCUUGUAGUCUCAUCCAGAAAUUUGAUGUGAACCUUGGAUCUCUAUCUAAUACAAUUGACACUGGAACUCCAUGUCUUGAGACGAUCUCUUUAACGUAUAGCUUCGCCAGCUGAUCAAGAUUAAAUCUAAUCUUUAAUGACAAAAAGUGUGCAGAGUUUGUCAGUCUGUCCACUAUCACCCAUAUCGCAUCGUAUCCUUUCUGAGUCGUUGGAAGACUUACCACAAAAUUUAUUGUGAUAUGUUCCCACUUCCAUUCCGGUAUCUCCAACGGUUGAAGUAGUCCGCUUGGUCGUUGAUGCUCUUCCUUCACUCUCUGACAUGUUAAGCACUUUGCAACGUAUUUCGCGGCGUCUCUUUUCAUAUUUGGCCACCAAAAGCGUCGCCGCAAAUCUUGAUACAUCUUCGUACUUCCCGGAUGAAGUGAAUAUCUUGAGCUAUGAGCCUCUGUCAAGAUUUUUUCUUUAACAUCUUGUACUGCUGGAACCCAAAUUCGUCCCUCAAAUCUUAGUAUUCCUUUAGUAUCAACCUUUUAUUUCACUUCUUUACCCUCGAUCACACCUUCCUUUAUUUUUCUACAUUCCUCAUCCUGUAGUUGAGCGGUCUUCACUUUGUCCACCAAAGUUGGACUAGCUUCCAUCUGGUACAAUCUUUUGUCAGAUUCUUUUGGAAAUUUAAUUUCCAACUCUAGCCUUGCCAUUUGCUGAAAUGAGCUCCUCCUUAUCGGUUAACAACAUCAAUUUUUCUCGGUCAUUCCUACUCAAGGCAUCUGCAACCACAUUAGCUUUACCCGGAUGAUAAAAGAUCUUGCAAUCAUAAUCCUUUAUCAAUUCCAUCCAUCUCCUUUGACGCAUGUUCAGGUCCUUCUGUGUGAAAAUAUACUUCAGACUCUUAUGGUCUGUGUAGAUCUCACACUUCUCUCCAUAGAGAUAGUGUCUCCAUAUCUUCAGAGCAAACACUACCGCAUCCAACUCUAAGUUAUGAGUCGGAUACCCUUUUUUGUAGUCUUUCAAUUGCCUUGAUGCAUAUGCAAUGACUUUGUCGUUCUGCAUAAGGACACAUCCUAACCCUUGUGUGAAGCAUCACUAUACACCAUAAAAUUUCUUGUAUUAUCUGGUAAUAACAACACAGGUGCCACACUUAACUUCUUUUUAAAUUCAUGAAAACUUUCUUCAUACUUCUCCGUCCAAACAAAUUUUAUAGAUUUUCUAGUAAAAUUUGUUAACGGAGUGGCAAUCUUGAAAAAAUCUUGGAUAAACUGUCUAUAAUAGUCUGUCAAUCCCAAGAAACUUCUUACUUUUGAUGGAGUUCUUGGUGGUUCCCAAUUUAUCACAGCUUCGACUUUUGAUGGAUCUACAGAAAUCCCAUCCUUAUCAAUUACAUGCCCAAGAAAUUGUACACGUUCUAACCAAAAUUCACAUUUAGAGAAUUUCGUGUACAACUUUUCUUUUCUUAACGUCUCCAGCGUCAGACGCAAGUGUUCCACGUGUUCUUCUUGAGAUUUAGAGUACACCAGAAUAUCAUCGAUAAAUACCACCACAAACUUAUCUAAAAAUAGUUUAAACACCCUGUUCAUCAAAUCCAUGAACGCUGCAGGGGCGUUUGUCAAACCAAAAUACAUCGCCAAAAAUUCAUAAUGUCCAUAGCGAGUUCGGAAUGCCGUCUUCGGUACAUCCUCCUUUCUCACUUUUAGUUGGUGAUACCCACUUCUCAAAUCUAUUUUCGAGAAAUAUUUAGCACCCUUCAAUUGAUCAAACAAAUCAUCUAUUCUUGGCAAUGGAUAUUUAUUUUUAAUAGUGACCUUGUUUAAUUAUCUAUAAUCAAUGCAAAGACGCAUUGACCCAUCCUUCUUCUUCACGAACAACACCGGCGCUCCCCACGGUGAUACACUUGGCUGAAUGUACUUCUUUUCUAAUAGUUCUUGCAGUUGUACCUCAGUUCCUUCAUUUUGACCCGAGCCAUUCUGUACAGGGUCUUCGAUAUUGGAGCGGUUCCUGGCGCUAAGUCGACCACAAAUUCGAUCUCUCGGUCAGGCGGAUGUCCUGACAAAUCUUCCGGAAACACAUCCACGAAUUCCCUAACCACUGGUAUUUCCUCAAAUUUUACACUCUUCAUCUUUUGAGUAUCGACUAUGUAAGCUAAAUACCCUACACAGCCCUGACUCAACAACUUCGUGGCCUGCAUAAUCGUCAGACAUCUCAUUUGUCUAGGCGAUUUGCUACCAUGAAAAACUACCUUUGAUGGAGUCAUAAGGUUUACACACUUCUUUUGGCAAUCAAUUAUCUCUCCAUAAUUGAAUAACCAAUUCAUUCCCAAUAUCACGUCAAAUUCUCCAAGUUUUAUCGGGAUUAAAUCUACUGUCAUAACAUUCCCCUUAAUAUUCACCCUACAGUUCUUGUAUACGAACCUAACAUGAAUCACUUUCUUAUUCACAAUUUCUAUGUUUAAAGGGAAAUUCAACUCUUCACUAGGUAUUUCUAACCUCUUAGCAAAUUCAUCAGAUAUAAAUGAGCAAGUAGCACCCGAAUCAAAUAAUACAUAUACAUUUAUAUCAUUGAUUGGGAUAAUACCUGGCACGACAUCUUUUGAUUGCACCGCGUCCUGCAUAGUCACGUUGAAGGUUCUUGUUGUGGGCUUAUUUGUUGACGUUGGUCCAACAAUAGCCAGUGUACCUCUACUUGCAUUUCCCUUGCUUCCAUUCACCUCACCAGUUUUCUUCUUUGGACACUCGCGAGCAAAAUGAUACUUCGACCCGCAGGUGUAGCAAGCAUUCUUAUUGGGUUGAGUGUAAUUUGGGGCAAUGUGACCCUCCUGGCAACAAUUAAAGCAUGCCCACUUCCCUCUUAAGCACAUACCCAAGUGAAACUUUCCGCAAGUAGCACAUGCGUCAAUCUUCUUCUUUUGCUGGUUACCUUGCUGAUUUCCAGCUCCCACAUUUGCAUUCCACUUUAUCUUCAAAUUGUUGUUGCCAUUUCCACCAUUACCACCAGCACCAUUUUUAGUUUCUCCUUCAUUUUUCUUCUUCCUCUGCUCUUGAUUGUGCUUUGUUACAGCCUCGCCUCCACUCUCAGCGAGAAUUGCCUUCUCAAGUACUGCUGCAAAUGUCUUUAACUGGAACAGGGAAACCCUGCUGUACAACCAAGGCUUCAGUCCCUGCUCGAACCUUCUUGCUUUGCGUUCAUCAGUAUUCACUUGAUAUGGCGCAAACCUCGCUAAUUCGUUGAACCUUGCUGCAUAUUCUGACACUGUCAUUGUGCCCUGCUUUAACUCCAAAAAUUGCACCUCCAUCUGGUUCUUUGAGCUUUCUGGGAAAUAGGUCUCGAAGAAUAUUUUCUUGAACCUUUCCCAAGAUAUUACCCCUUGACCUCCUCAGGUUUUAUUGGCUUGCCACCAAUAACUAGCCUCUACUUUCAACAUGAAUGUUGCAAAAGUAGUCUUCUGAUUCUCCCCUACACUAGCAACAUCGAAAACCUUCUCUAUUUCCAUAAUCCAGGUCUGUGCUUCAACUGGAUUCAUGGACCCAUAGAAUUAUGGUGGCCCAACCGCCUUGAAAUUCUUAAAUGUCGCAGCUUGAUUCUGUGGCUGAUUCUGUAAUGCUCCUGUCAGUAACGUUACGAAUUGUUGAACUAGAUUAUCCUCAGCAUUGCUGUUAUUCUUAGGGUUCCUUUGUCGUGGUUGGCGUCUUGGAGUCAUUUUCUGUUAAAAUACACCCAUUAGAUUCUAUUCAACCUUUUAAGUAUUAUAUAUUCAACUUGCACAUCGCAAAAAUUAUCACAUAACACAAUAUCUUGAAUAAAUAGUAACUCUUAUUUAUUCAUAAUGUUUUAUAACAUAAUAAUGAUAGCAUUCAUACUAUCUACAUCUUCACUUUCCUGAACUACAAAAGUUGCAGGAUUACUUCAUCAUCAUCACAUCCCAUUGGUUAUAUCAUAUCCGGGAUUUACAUCAUAUUUACUCACUAAUCACAUAAUAAUUACAUUUAUGACGUUUUAUUAAAAUGCUGCAUAGCCUUACGACGCUCCUUUUCCUUAAUUCAGAACAUUGUUCGACGAUCUAAUAUGUAUGAUGGUAGCAUCUCAAACUGAAUAGGAUAACACAUGACUCGAUCUUGAGCUCGAUUGAUCAAGGUGUUGAAUACGUUAUUCAUCUCUUCUAUCUUGAUCCUCUUUACAUGCAUCUCUCUCUCUGCUACCCUGGCUCGUUGAAAAGCUUCCUCGUAUGCGUCUUCGGCUCUUGCCCUCUUCGUAGAUUCUUCUUUCAAUUUGUUCUCCAACUCUGUAAUCCUCUCUGCCAGUUGCUCUUUCUCUUCUUCAGUGUGGACCAGCUUCUCUUCAACAUUAUUCAGACGUUCCUCUUGAUCCUAGAUCUCAUCGUCCUUUUAUGCCAUUGAGGUCUGUUGUUCAGCUACUAUCUCUUGCAACUCCUCGACGGUAUCUUGAAGUUCCACAUUGCAGUCAUAUACUUCGUCUUACAUACGGGCGGCAAUCGAGUUAAGUGGAAGCUCUUCCUCCUCGUCAUCCUCAUCUCUAUCCGACUGUGGCAGCCCAACGGGGUCCUCCUCGUCCGUCUCUAUCUCAUCAUCCUCAUCAAGCAAUCCUUCCUACUCAACCACUGUGACCAACGAAGUUGUUUCCCGUGGCAGUAGCUGUUCCCAAACCACCUGAAUAUCUCGAGGCUCCUCCUCUCUAGGCAUCUGGAAUCCUUCCUCCCUAGCCUGACUAGAUCCUCCUAUAUUAGUCAUCUUGUCAACCAAAUUUUAAGUUUUAAUUACUAAUCAUUACUACUCGACACUCAUGAGCACAUAAGUUAUAAUCACAUAAGCACAUAAGUAUUUUAUUACUUCUUCCUUAAAACUCGAUAAAAGUUUAUCAUCACUAUCUUUUCAAAGGUUACUUCCUAAGGCUUUUCCCCACCUAAGGUUCAUAACCUAAGGCUUUGAUACCAACUUAUGACAACUCCAAAUCUAGGUACUUUGUUCCCACAAGACUUGAUGUUCACUUUCCAUUCACUCAUACUAUCUACCCAAAUAUAAUAAAAUUAAAUCAUAAAUCCUCGCUUUAAAAUAGGGUUUCAUCAUUAAAUAAACAUCUUCCCAGGUUGUCUAACCUUAAUCAUCAUAUAAGUGUGGAAAUAAAAUUAUUACAUCACAUCAUUAAUUAAAAGUCUAUCAUCAUAACAAUAAAUGAAAAUUACAAGUUUUCAUCACUUGUACAUUUUUCCCUUUCCCUUUCUAGUUGAAGGUUCAUCUACCUUUUCAACUUUAGCUGCAACAAUUAUAUUUAAGCAAGAGUGAGCAAAACAAAUGCUCACUAGAUAUAGCAACGAAUCAACAAGAUAAUAAUAACUGCCAAUGAAUAGGCUCAUCAAAACUGAAUAGUACUCUAUCAAUGAUAACCAAAGACUGGAAUCAAAAUAUGGAAUAUAUGUAUCUGAGGAUAAUAAGACCACGAACUAUGUCCACAGUUGUAAGUAAUCUUUCAACUACAACUUUAACAGUCAUAAGACUAUAAGGACUCCUCGUACAUAGGGGGAUCAGCCCUUCGUACAAUGUAUUGUGCACAGUCAGUUAACCGCUAAGCGUAAAUUAUCCCCUAAUAAUAGGGUUGUUCAUCUCAGUAUUUAGAGUAUAAGUUCGUACCAAUGUAAGUUUGGUUUGGAUACAUUUCAAGGUUAAUUUAGAAUUCAACGGUCAUCAACUAAGGAUUAGUUAAAUACAAUAUUGAUAACGUCAUGUUAUGGAAUAAUCAUAACUGAAUCGACAUUGUAAAUUAAGAUCAUGCUUUAGGAAUAAACUAAUAGCAUAAACAUCGAAUAAUCAUAACGUACCUUGCUUGAACAAUAUUAAGCCAAGGUUAUUUAGAAUUGAGUACUAAGCAUGCAUAACCAAUAAUAAUUUAAACGAUAAAAUUUAUUCAACAUGAGUAUAUCAGAAUAUGUAAACUUGUAUGCUAGAUAACAAGUUAAAAAGAAGAAUAACUUGUUCAAUAUCAGAAUAAGAUUUAGAAAUCAUAAACAAACUAAAUACAAGAACUUACUCAAUCGUAAGAAUAAACUUGCACAAUGUAAUAAAUGAACUAGCUCAACGAAAGUGUAGUUAGAAAACUUGAUCAAUUGUAAAAGUAGAAUUAAAGAGCUUGCUCAAUGUAAAAAGAUAAGUUUAGAAACUUGCUUAAUGUAAAAAGAUAAGGUUUAGAAACUUGCCUCGAGCAUAAGCUAUAAUAUUAAACUCACGUUCACCUACACAUAGGUUUAGAACCACAAUAUCUCUUAGACAUACUAAAAUACCAUAACAUAUGCAUUUCUAGUUAGACUUGUUAUUUUCGUAUAAGUCUUAUAUUACCAAAUACAUUUCAUAUUUUCCAAGUGUUAACAUCACAACACUUAUCUAACAUUCAUUGUAUAAACUAAGUUAUAACAUAACACGUUCAUAACUUAUAAUCAUUUGAAACUUUGAACUACUAACCACCUAACACGAUUCUGUUUUAACCAUGUUAUUACAUGCUUGACACCUUAACACAACCUUAGACCAAGCUAUAGGGGUGUUUCAAGGUCUGCAGUAGCAGCAGAACAAAUUAUCUCAGGACAGGGUAUGACGCAGCUGCGCCAUACACAUGCUUAGGACCGGCGCAGCUGCGCCGGUGCAGCUGCGCCGGUGCAGCUGCGCAGUUUUUAGCCUUGGUACUAGCGCAUCUGCGCUGGUGCACAGACAGAGGCAAAGACAGCUAUAAACACUAGCCGACUUUAGCCCAACAAACACGAAUUUCACCCACCAAAUAGUAAUAUUAACACCAACAAUUGAUAUAAAACUAUCAUAAACAUGUUUGCUAACAUAUUCCUCAACAUGGAACAAUUUAACAUCAACUAAAACUAGUUUAAUUUCUCAAAUUUUAUGUUUUCAUAUAACAACUCAAUUUUUGAUAUCCUUCACGAAAAUCAACACUAUAAACACAAUUCUUGUCCAAAUUGCUUCGUUCAAAUUACGUUAUGUUCGUUUCUUAAUGAACUAGCAUAAUCAAGCCUCAAUUUACAGUUUAACAUACGAAUUGACCAUAAAAAUUAGUACUUACAUAAGUCAUAUGAGAAAAUAUUCAUAACAACAUACACUGUAAUUAUCUUUCCUACUUUUAACUGUAAUUAGCAUACAAAUUUCUUGUUUAAACAUAAACUCUAAUCAUCAUUAACACAGAUUAUCACCAUAAUCAGUUGUAUAACAACAUUUUGAAAGAAAUAGAAUUCACAGAACUUGAGAUUUUAUGCCGUAAAUUCAUAUAUAUAUAUAUAUAUAUAUAUGUGUGUGUGUGUGUGUGUGUGUGUGUGUGUAUAAUAUUGAGAUUAUGGAAAAUUACCUUCAAUUAGCAUGCACAACCUUGCUAAACACAGAAUUUGUUGUGAAAAUUCUUAAGACUCCUCUCCAAUUCCUCUGAAAACUCUCUUCUCUUCUCUCUUCUCAGUAGACUAAACUCUUAGUUAAGCGUAAACAAAUAAACUGAUAGGCUGGCUAUAAUACGUAUACUUCUUAUAAUAUCAGUUACAAAUAAAAUAUAACGUAUAUGUUAUAAAUUUAUUUUAUAUUUUAUUUUAUUAUUUUUUAUAAUAAAAUCCAAAAUUUAAAAAUUCAAAAGCCAUAAGGCUUUGUUUGGCAACACCUCUUUAAAAUUUAAAGGCUUAAUAUAUUUAAGCUUUGUUUGGAAAAACUAAAUUACACUCCUUUAAUUUAUUUUAAUAAAAAAUUUAGUUUAUCAUUCAUAAUCACAUAUUAUUUAUUUGGAUUUUCAUAUCCACAUUAAUCAAAUAAAUUAGUUACAAACUAUAUUUUAAUUAAAUAUACCAUUUAAACAAAUAACACAAAAUUAUAAUUUCAUUAUAAUUUUAUCUAAUAAUUUAACAUAUCAUUUUAAAUUAUUAAAUCAACACAACAAUAUAACAUCUCAUGUUAUAUUACAACUUUCUCCAUUAUAAAUCACAUAAAUUUAAAAUUUUAUUAAUUCAUAAAUAUUUAGUAACAAUAACCACAUCAAAUAAAAUAUUUAUUCAACAAUUUCAACAAUAAACACAUCAAAUAAAUAUUUACAUAAUCCAAUAAAUAUUUAAAAUUAUAAUUUAAAAUUUUGGAUUGUUACAAUCUCUAAAUGGACAGGUGUAUAAAAUCUACAACCUACCUACAGUUUAAUACCAUUGAGUUAGUAAUCUAUAAAUUAAAGUCUAGUAGAGAUAUUGAGUAUCUAAAUUGGGGCUGUUAGGCCAAGUUUGAAACUGUUCAUGCCUCGAAGGGGCUGUCUUGUCAAUGAUGAAAAACAACAAUAUUUAAAGCAUUAGUGGACCUAAAUGGAACUAUAAAAUAUUAUACGUUGUCCAUACAAGUUAUAAUUACACUCAAAGCACAAAAUGAGUUCGAACUCACCUUGAAUACCUAAAAUAUAUAAGUUCAUAUAUAUAUAUAUAUAAUGUAACGCCCCAAAAAUUUGGAUUUUCCAGAAUUUAAGUUUAAAGAAUUAGUUAUUAAUAAAAUGAAUUUUUAUUAAUAAUAAGGUGUUAUGUGUUUAUUAAUCGUUCUAGAACCUAGGAUGAUUAUAAGUCGAGAGGAUUCUGGCUACGAGCUAGACUAAGCGAUUAAGAAUUUUCAAGACGAAAAUGAAAAUUUUCCGGGAACAAAAAUAUUUCUGGGGAAAAAGACAAAAUACGCACUAUUCACCCGACGAAACCUAAGGGUUAGGGUUUGAAUAACCUAAGCCGUUCUGAGAGUUCAGUAUGUCGAAAUGACAUUCCGUCGAAAGAUUUGACGAUAAUAUAUCUUGAAAAGUUAAGUAAGUAGAUAAAAGUUUUUCUCGAAAAACGUGCAGAAAUCGGAUAAAAUAAAAAUGACGAAAAGUACUACUAUGUACUUUUCAUUCGUUUGGCUACGUUAGGGUAAAACAUGAAGGAAAACGCUCAACGCUAAAAAGUGUUUUUCAGUUUUUCGGAAAUCCGAAGAAUACGUAAAAGUUAAUCGGUAAAGGAAAGACGAAAUAUCCAAAAAUAUUUGGAUUCCGAGAAUCGCAGUUUUUAAAACUGUCGGACGAAACCUGAAAAACGGAACCACGAAACUUACAGGCUAAAUUUCGUGAAUAGUAAGGAGGUUAACUAAGGAGGUGGAUGUACUAGACUUAAGUUUUAAGUAAACUUAAGUGUUAAGCAAACUUAAAGGCUAAGUAGACUUAAGUGUUAAGUAAACUUAAGGAGUGAGUUAACUUAACACCUAAGUCAUGAAUAGUAAGGAGGUGUGAAUAGUAAGGAGGUUAGGGGGUGAAAUGACUAAAAUGCCCUUAGCCUUGAAAAUCUAUAAAUAGUAAGCUUAAUUCAUUUAUUUGGGAUAUUGAAAAAUCCUACAUCUUAGAGAGAGAGAGAGAGGAUUCGGAUGGAGAGAGAUGAGGAAGAGCAUGAGCAUGAUUGAUCGGAUCGAAAGUGUUCGUGAAAUAGAAAAGCUAGCAAAUCGCCGAUUUUGUCUAGCGGAAGAAAAAUAAAGAGGAAAGGUAUUAAAACCUAACUUCUAUGUUAGAUUUUCUUUAAGUUUAUAUGUUUAAAACAUAACUUAAUGAGAAUAAGAAGUAUAUGAUGUUAGGAAUGAUUUCAUAUGGUUGAAAUCAUAAGAAAAUGAAGAAAUAAGAAUUUAAAGUUUAGUAAAUAAAUUUCUUAAGGAAGUAUAAGAUUCGUAAUGAAUUAGAACGAUCCGAGUGGAUUAUAUAAAUAAGUAGGUGAAAUAAGUAAGGAAUAAUGUUUUAUAACAUCAAAUUCCAAUGAAAAGUGAAAUUGUAAUCCAAAAUAUCGAUUAAAAUGAAGAACGAAUGAAGAACACGAAGAACAUGCAAAGAACACGAAGAACGUUGUUGAUGGACAAAUUUAAAACCAUCAUAGGAUAAUUGUUGUUGAUGGACAAGUUUAAAACCAUCGCGUAUAAGUUAGAUGCUUGUUUCUUGGUUAGGAACGGUAGAAACGUUCAUGAAGAACGGAUUAAAACUUAGCUAUAACGAAGUUAUGGCGAAAAUUUCGUAAAAGACAAACGAAAAUUAGAAAUUUAGUAAAUGAACCCGAACGUGUAUGGUUUCAUAAGAAUGUAAGAAAAUGUUGAAAACAUGAGUCGUGGACUCAAGAACGAUAGAAUUCCGAGUUCGGAUGACCGGAUUACGGACGAACAAACAAAGAGCAUUAAAAACGUAAAUGAACGAAGGCUGAAGAUCAAGCAAAUCGAAUAGCACGUUAACGGAUUCAGAAUGAUGUUCUAUCCGAGGGGGAUUGAAGUACGUAAGAUAAAGAAGAGAAUGGCUUUGGAAUGACCUCAUUCCGAGUUAUAACGAAUAAAUUAUGGAAGCGGGAAGAAAGCGUCUCAAAUUGGAUGAACGAACGUGAGGGGUUGCUAGGGUUGCGAUUCCUUAGACGUUGAGCGACGAGGGUAAUGAAUAACAUUUCGAUGUUAUGUCAUGAUAGUGAGAGAUAAGUUUGAAGCGUUUAGACGCUGUGUACGCAACGCUGUUGUGGUAAACGAGUGAUCUUAGCAUACAGCGAAAUGUAUGGCUUCGACAUUAAAGAAGAAUAACGAAUGGUAUUAAGAAAGCCGUAAUGAACGGUAAUAAGAUUAAUGGAAGCCGAAUGUGAGUCGGAUAAGAACGUUAGAAUAAAAUGUAUGCGUUGAACACUUUAACCGACGUGAAGGUUGAGGGUACGCAAAUAUUAAACGGAUAGAACCUACACCCCGUGUAUGGUUUGACCGUAAGAUAAUGACGAUCAAUGUUUAAACCGUGAACGGUAAAGAAGUUGAAUUAAAGAUAAUAACGUUUAACGUAACGAAGCCGAGUUAAGGAUUAAAGGGAAUGAUCGUUUUGAGUAUACAAAAGACUAUAUGACUUAGACGAUAAAGAGUGAAUACUGAGGCGUGGAAUUUAGUUGCCAGGAAGCCAUAAAGAAUGAGAAAUUAACUUAACGAAGAUUAUAGUUUAAUAGUUCGGAUAAGUCAAGAUAAGUAAGUUGUAGUACAAUCGUAACCUUUGAUGGUUGACAUAUGGGAGCUGGGCUAAACAAUUCCUUCAGAGAGCGAAGGUAUAUACAAAACUGGCAACCGAUCUAACUCACUGUUAUGGGCAGUGUAGACGAGACGGGAACUUGUUUGUUGGUUGUUUGUGGGAAACCACUCAGAGUACCAUAUGGACUACUAGCAGAGAAGCGAUGUGUGCUAAGUCUUAGAGAAGUAAUAAGAAGAAGAUAAGAUGUAAAACAUCAAAGAUGAUGAACGUAUAAGUAAGACAUCUCCGUAUGUCAUGAAGCCGUAGAACGGUAGUGAAAGUGGUCGCGUAAACUUAGGUUGCAAGAACGCGAACCCUAAGAAGUAAAGUUAAGUAAACUAAUGCAUAAGUCAAAGAUGUAUGACUAAUUAGUGUAUGUGUUGUUUUUUUUAUGUGCUACAUAGGAACUAGAAUGAGCAGUUCAGCGUAAGCUGUAGCUGUGCGUAAGGCAAGUUUCCUAACUUCAUUCAUACUUCAAAUGAAUGCUAGUUUCUUAAACUUCUCAGAUGUUGAACUUGAGAAGUUCCGUUUAUGUGCUAAUGUGUGAUAUUUGUACAAGGUGGUAGAACGUAUGAGGCCUUGUGCCACAAUGUGAACACUUCGAUGUUUUUAUGAGAUGAAUUGUUCUGUGAUUAACUGUUCAAUAAGAGAAUGCUCUGUUCAUACGUUAUUGUUAAGUUUGUGCUAAUGAUUCUAGCCAGACAGAAUGUGUAUGAAAAAGUUAGAAGAAUGAAAGUAUUUUAAAUUAAAGUGAAUAUUGUUUUAAAAUGAUAGGAAUCGAUAUUAUUCCUAUUAUUCAAGCUGCUUCAUAACCUUUGUUCGGUUAUUGAUGUCUUAAAAGAAUGUUUGAAUUCUUGAAGAUGUUUGUUCAACUGUAAUGACUUGUUGGGCAAUUGAAUGCUCACACUUGCUUUUAAAUGAAAAACAUUUUUCAGCGAACGAUGUUAGAAGAACUUAAGGGUCUUGUAAAGAUCAAAAUGACGGUAUCCAGAUGAGGUGCUAUUCAGGAUGUGAAUAAGCGAGAAGAUUAAGUGAAGAUUUAUAAUAUAGGAAGAUGAAAUUGAACUAUAGACUAGUUUAAGGAACUGUUAUGUAUCCUUGGUGGCGGAUAAAAGUCACUCUUGUAAGAUGAAAUGAAUAAUGUAUUUAUCAUUAUUUGAAAUGAAAAAGGUUAUAAGGUUUCCAGAACCUGGGAUUUGAGAGUAUAUGUUGUUAUAUUUAGCUAUAUAAUGAUGUAUGUUUGGAAGAAGAUGGGAUCGUGAUGUACGGAAUCCGGGUGUGAAGAUAGACCGGAUUUCGGGGCGUCACAUAUAAGCAUGUAGUAUACAUUAAAAGUGAUCAGUUUGGUAGCAUGAUAAUAAGAGCAAUGCUUUGCAGUCUGAGGCAAUGAUUGAGGUAAAGAAGAUUGUGGGCAAAUCGAAUGGGAGUGGGUUUUUGUUAUUAUGAGGUAAAGAAAAAAAAAAGAAGUUCAAUAGAAUUUAAUUUGAAAAGUUAUGAGGGAACUCAUAAUUUUUAUAACUUCACUACUAGAAUAAAAGUUGAGGACCCAUAUGCUAAUUGAUUCAUUGUUUCAUUUUGUGCUAACACCACAGUUAGUAUUGAUGGUAUUGAAUUUGACAAGUGUGAUGUAAUAGGCCAGAGCUUCAUGUUUCAUCAAAUUGGAAGAAUUUCAUAAUGGUGUAUAUAUAUUUAAUAUAUAUAUAUGAAGUGAGAAUGCGAAUUAUUCGUAAGAUAAAAUGUGAAGCUAAGUUACUAAUAAAGUAAAGGAUUCACGUACGAGGCGAUAACCUGGUUUAACUUAUGAGCUAUUGAGAAAGCAUAAAAAUUACAAAAGUUAAAGAAAUGUUAUAGUAAUGCCAUGUUUAUGAAAUAAAAAUUAUUCGUAAACCAUAUGGUCUUAAGUCUACAAAAAAAAGAUAAGAAAUAUCCGUUAAAAGGAUUGUAAAUGGUUUAUAACUCGAAACGUAGAGUAUUUAUAUACUAGAGCCAUGAGAGAACCUUUUUGGGCAAAAAAAAAGUUAUAAUGAACAAAAGUUUUUAAAGAAAUGUGAAAUAGUUUUAAGACAAGAACAAAGGAUUAUAGUUAAUGUAAAUAAAAUUAAGUUUACAUUAAGUAUGUGAAUUUAGUAUAUGAAACUAAUGUGUGUAUGAAUAUAUAUACUCAAUUUGUGUAGGAUCAUCACCGAACAGAUGAGUUAUAACAUUAAACAGCACUCAAGGCAAGUUUCUCAGUUUAUUUAUGUGGACGUAUAAUUGCUAUAGAUAACUGUUACCAUAAUUUAUGGUUAAAAGUAUGUAAUACCUAUGAACUGCAUUAUUUGCUUUGUGAAUGAUGAAUGUCAAAUUAUGACUAAUUAUUGAAUUGAGUUGGGGAACUCAAUAAAUAUGUGCAAUGAAUGACAUGUAUAGGACAUGUGUAGUAUGCUAUGGUAUGUAUGUUGCUACCAGCAGGACAUAAAUGUGAUAAUGCAUUUGUAAUAUGCUUGAACACCAAGAAUAUAAAUGCAUGAACUGAAUGUGAAACCUAUGUGCUAAGUGAUGCAUGAUAGACUGUUAGACUUGCUGGGUCGUCGUGCUCAAUCUUGCUUAAUUUGCAGGUUAAAGCUAUGAUGCGAUUUAUCGUGAUUAGGAGCGCAUGAAAAGAAGACUAGUGAUUUAAUUGAGAUUGUGUUGAAUCAUUUGAUGGUAUUUUCAUGUGUAAAUCACAGAUGUGUAAAUUUUUGAAUUAUUCGAUAGAUGAAGAUUAUUUGUUCUAAAGAGGGGAUAUGCUUGAAAGAAUGAAUUAUAUAUAUAUAUAUUCAUAUCUACUCAGGCUAAAUAAGUCAUAUAAUAAAUAUGAUUUUAGUAUAAAGAAGAAUUGUAAAGGUUGCGAUUCAGGGAAUGAAUGAAUGGAAAAAAAAUUAUUCUAUAUUUUUAGCUAUUUUAACAUUAAAUAAUGUUUUAAAGCUAUAACAAGAUAAUAUUAACGCACAAGAUCGGGAAGGAAAAUAGUCCCGAUUUUGGGGGCGUUACAUAACACUGCAGCUAAAGUUGAGAAAGUUGACGAUCCGUCUACAAGUAAGGGAAAAGGCAAGAUGACCAAGUGAUGAAUAGUUGGUUUACUUUACUUUAUUUGAAAGAAUUUAUGCUAUGAGACAUAUUUAUUUUUAUGAUGUAUUCCACAAACUUAUGUAAUAAUUUAAGGUUAAAUUACCUGAGAUUUAUUUUAAGAUGAUGUAACCCUUUAAUGGGGAGGAUUAUUGUUUAAGUUAUUUAAUUUAUGUUUUUAUCCUAGAUUGUGGGUAGUUCAAUGUGAUUGUUUUGGAUAGUGAACACCAAAUCCUGUGGGAAUGGAGUACCCAGAUUUGGGGGUGUCACAGCUCCCUCUGUUCGGACUCCUCUAGCUUGCCUGCCAACUCAACAUUCUUGGCUCUCGAUCAAUGGAAAAGGGUCCCCAUCUGUACACCUUCCUCCUUGCGAUAUGCAAGUUCUACCUCCAACUUCUGCAUUUCCAGCUUCCUCUUAUGGUCUUCAUCCCUCAACUUCUGCAUCUCAGUUUCUCUCUCUUGAGCCUGGUCUAUAGUUCCUCAACCCAACACUCGAAUUCCAAAAUCCAUUCCUCGUAUUCCCCCAACAUCCUAUCCUCGAAUGUCACCUCGUCGGAAUCUUCCACGGGCUCAUCCUCCAUGGGAUCUUCCUCGAAAUUUGACUCUAUGGCAACUGACACCAUCUCCUCCUCCUCAUCCUCAUCAUCUAAAGGGGCUACUGUUAAAAUGGGCUCCGCUAUCAGAGGUGCCUCAUACACUACAUGUAUGUCACGUGGCUCCUCCUCUACCACUCUACUGGGUCCUCCCAAGUCUGACAUCAUACAACCAUAAACACAAGACAACAACAACAAACUCCAUUAGCAUGCCAAAAUUAAACAUAAAUUCAUUCUGUGGAAUGAAAAUAUAUUUCAUAAUGUUACUAUAUCUCUAUGAAAACUCUAUAUGAGUUUCAUCUCCUUCUAUCCUCUAAGUUGUUCUAAGGUUAUAGUCUAAAGAUUCUCGCUACUAAGAUUUAUAACCUAAUGCUUUGAUACCAACCUAUGACGCCCCCAAAUUCGGACACUCAAAUCUCGAAUUCGGUACAUCACAUGAAACUUCUAAUAUCAUACUAAAAUCAUUAACAACGGAAUAAUAGAAUAAUUUAUAUUGUCAUAACAUAAUUUUUCUCGUCCUAAGGUCUCGAACUGUUACUACAACAUCAAAAUUUAAACAUAACUUAUUACAUCAUGAUAAAUAAGUCUCCAUACAACAUAAUAAUGAUAAAUUCCAAGUACUAAGAAUCUAAGCUAUUCUGAAGCCUUAUCUUUACCCUUGUCCUUGCCCGAGGGUUCACCAUGUUCUGCCUUAAUUAAAAGUUUUAAGGGAAGUAAGGAUGAGCAAAAAAUUUGCCCAGCAAGUAAUAUUGCAAUAAGGGUGAACAAUUAUAAAGUUCAAAUCUCAAGGGUAUGACAAUGAAUAAUAGUUCAAGAAUUAUAAAAAAUUCACAAUAAAGGUCGUUAUGGACUGAAAGAUAUCAACCAGAUACAAAAAAUAUGUCAUGUUAAGGUUCAAGAAUAAUGAACACUGAGUAGUCACUAAGGACUAAGAACUUCUGCUAGAAUUAACAGUAUUAUACUAAAAAUACAAUCAAACGAGUGCAACAGGUGAUCAGCCUAAGUACCAUGCGUUAUGCAUAACACUUAAACAUGCUAGUAUGUGCGCAUAUCGGUUCCCCAAAAAUUAUAAACUUUCCCCUUUAAUGAGGGUUGUUCAUCUCAGUAGAUUUACAAGAGUCCGCAUCAAGUCGAUUGGUUUGGAUAGCUUUCUAAUAUAUGAUAAUAGUCUAGCCGAAUCAAUAGCUUAGACAACUUUUAUAAUGCAUUUAAGAACGAUAAGUUCUGUAACGACCCAAAAAUUCAUACAACUCAACUCUCGACCUUGGUCAUUAUCGAUUCAUCUUUAUUCUAACAUUACAUCAUUAAACGAUGUUAAACUUAAUAAAAUGUGGAAUAAUUUAAACUUUUCUAUCUUCUUCUUUUAUUUUCCCUGAAUCACAACCUUUAUCAUCUACAUGUCUUUGAAUCUUAUACAAUGCAUGAUUCACUUAAUCAGAGUGAAUAUAUAUAUAUAUAUAUAUAUAUAUAUAUAUAUAUAUAUAUAUAUAUAUAUAUAUAUAUCUCUCAAAUUGAUAUCCUUUAUACAUCGAAUAGCUCAAACUUUAACUUUACAACUCAACAAUUAUUAAACAUCAUAAACCAUCAAGUACAUAUCUCAAAACCUUAAACAUGGAUUAAAAAGAUAACAGCUAUAGCUAAAGUAUUUAAUCUUCAUGCAUUGCAUCUGAUCCAUGUCAUUCAAGUAGCACAUAGCGUUACCUUGAAACCUUAACCUGCAAAAAUAGUUAUUUGCAAGGUUGAGCUCGACAGCCCAGCAAAUCUAACAGUUUUCACGCAUCACGUAGCAUAUAAUAACAUGUUCAACAUACAUCUCGUAAUCAUUGGACUAACAUAAUAUACAUGUUAUAGUUCACAUAACAAGUAUAAAGAUUGAGUUCCUUACUCAAUUAGCAUUCUUUACUCAAUCAACGUAGUCAUAAAUUGACUUUAACGUUUUAUACUUUCAACAUAUAUAACACAUCAUGCUCUUUGCAAUAAAGAUUUAAAAAAGUUCAUCAUCAAGUUCACAUAGCAAAUAGGAAUUGAAAGACUUGUUUUGAUCGUUGUUUACCAAUAACAGAUUAAUAACUUACAGAUAUCUGCACUUCACGUGUCCUACACAAUUAUAUAAUCAUGCACAUUAACUAUUAGUCACAUAGCAACGCAUAGUAGUUGUAAUGUAAACUUUACUCUACAUCUCAUAACCCUUCCUAUUAAUCGAUACACAAUGUUUAAUUUGAUUGUGUUAACUUUCGACUUAUAUCUCACUAUAUUUCUUCUUAGGUCACACUCGAAGUUCAUUCAAGUGUUUAAGUCUUGCUAGGACUACUUAUUGGUUUUAUAUUAACCACAUUCUAUAUCUUAUAAUGUUCACUUCAAUUGAAUUAAAACACUUUUUAAGUUCAGUAACACUUGACAUGACGUUUCGACGUUUAUUCGUCGUACGCCCAAUUCGUCUCUCUUUCGUACGCUUAAUAUGCUUAUAUAACUUAUCUAAUACAUCAUUUAUUAAUGUUAAAUAUCAUUAUAUUUACUAAUAUUCAUUUUUUAUAACUUAGAACAAAAUCUUUUAUCGCGAGAAGAACUACACUUGCAUAAGUGCACGCCCGACGCCCAUUCGAUUGCCUCCGAAUACACAUCAGUCCCAAAGAUGGCCAUUUUGACCCCUUUUCCAUAUAUCAAAUUAAAACACUUAAAUAAUGAAAGUUGUAGGACUAUUAUUCCUCGUUCCAGAUCAUCUUGAAUCGCCUUAAUCGGAGUUUGUAUGAAAAUGUGUGGCUAUUUUCGUAAAACAUGUCCAGUCAAUUUUUUCUCUAACACUUGGUCAGCCUACCCACCCCCGUCGGGACGGGAUACCCACUGGGGUGGCACUUUUUGAAGUACAAACCCCCAUCGGGGUGGGUAUUCACAGAUCCCAAUUCUGCAGUUUGUGUUCUUCGCAAUUUUUCGGCCCUUUCUCCUUCUAAUCUUCAUAACUUGAGUUAUACACACCCAAAUUAGUCCGUUUUUGAUUCUAUGGAUUCGUAAUUCAUAGAACUACAACAUACCAAAGAAUCAACAACUUAAAGAACCAUUAACUAACCUAAAGUUUGACCCAAAACUCAUGUUCAUACUAAACUUUCAUGUUUUAACAUGUUUAGCAAAUUCAUUCACUACGAAUUUGUUUCUUAACCAAAUUGAUUCAUUCAACUUGCAUUCUUUUAUUUUAUUUUUAACGUUCUUACAACAUCCAUCAUCAAUUUAAGGUUUCCAUUAAUAUUUCAUAACUAAUUUUAGUCUCAAAAAUGACAAAAAUGUACAUAUUCAACCAACUCAAUUCUUCAUCUUUAACAUGUUUUCAUGAGUUUAAACACUCCAAAAUUGUUUCUAGAUGACUAUUAACAGAUUAUGUCUAUCCAUAAACAUAUAUAAAUUAUACCUCAAUAAAUUCAACCACCAAAAACUCAAUUACAAAGAAUUUAGAAAACAAAACUAUAAACUAGAAACCUAGAAAUUUUACCUUUGAUUUACUAUAAAGCUUGAACAAUUUCUUUUUUCUCCCUUCUUUGAUUCUGAAACUCCUCUUCAAUUACCGAGAAUUUCUUCUCUAAGCUCCCUCUUCUCAAUUUAUCUCUUCCUCUCUUCUCUGUAUUUUUUUUUCUUUGUUUUCAGGCUUUAGGAACAAAAUACGUAAAAUUCAUAUAACUGAUAUAAACAUAAUGCGUAUACAUUAUGGCCUCAUCAGUUACACAGCCAAACGUUCUAUCAGUUAUAAUAACCAAAAGCCACAAGGCCAUGUUUGGCUAGCCCCUUCAAAUCUCCUUUUAAUUUAUUUUAAUUCCUUCCUUAUCAUAUAGUUUAUUUGUCACAACCAUUAUUAAAUUAAACCUCAAUAUAAUUAUAACUUCCAUUUAGCCACUAUAACAAAUUACUAAAUCUCUAAUUUAAUUACUUAAUUAAAUUAGAAUAUUCCAUUCCAUCAAUAUUAUCACACUUUCAUUAAAUUAUUCCAUAACGAUUUCCAUCAAAUAUUCAUUUUAAAUUUCAUAAAUAUUCUAACUAAAAUAUUUAUUUUAUUCGAUAAAUAUUUUAACUAUUUACGAGAUUCACAAUCGUAUUGCAUUAACAUAUUACGUUUAUAUGUAAAAUGUAUUACUUUCUCAUCUUAUUAAAACAAAUAUAUUUAUAUUAAUUCACUGUUUUAAUUAAGUGAAUUAGUUGCCUUAUUUAUGAAAUUUAAUUCAUUACAAUUCAAUUGCCAAUCAAGGCAUGAUAAUCAAAUUAUAUUAUUUCAUAAUAUAAUUUCAAAAUUUAUUUAAAUUAACCAAUAUUUAUUCAAUUAAUUUCUUUUCCACCAUAUUCCUUUACAUAACAUAUUAACAUAUUACAUUUAUAUGUAACAUACAUUACUCUCUCAUUUUAUUAAAAAACAUCAUAAUAAGAAUUUUAUUCAUUAAAUUCUUAUUUUAAUUAUUUUACAUUAAUUCACUAUUUUAAUUAAGUGAAUUACUCACAUUAUUUAUGAAAUUUAAUUCAUAAUAAAUUCAUUGCCACAAGGCAUAAAAAUCAAAUUAUAUUAUUGCAUAAUAUAAUUUUCAACUUAAUUAAAUUAACUUCUUUCCCUUUUCAAACAAUUUCAUUUACCUUCUUUAAUAGUUAAAUUAAAUUAACACUUUCAUAUAUAUAUAUAUAUAUAUAUAUAUAUAUAUAUAUAUAUAUAUAUAUAUAUAUAUAUCUCAUAUAUUCACACCAAAUCAUAUAUUUCACAAUAUAUAACACAUAUACACACAUAUCCAAACUCAAAACAUCUCGCAAUAAGAAUUUUAUUUAUUAAAUUCUUAUUUUAAUAAUUUUCAAAAAUUUGGGUUGUCACAUCCUUCCCUCCUUAUAAGGAUUCCGUCCACGGAAUCACCAAAACCCUACCUUACUCAGAUUUUCAUCAAAUCACUUUUAAAAAAAAUUAUCGUUGAAUAACUUCAACACAUUACCUUAAUAUAGAGUUUUAUAUUUCCUACUACAUUCAUUUCUUCAACAAAUUCUAGGUUUUAUUUCAUAACUUUCACUUGAACUCAAUUAUAUUUUGAGUAUUAUAUAUUCUUUAACCCAUUCAUUUCCUUCUCUAAGAAUCGUUAUCAUAUACCCAACUCAUAAAUACUCGGGAUAUUAUAUUUACCCCUUCUUCUAAGAAUUUCAUCCCCAAAAUUCCAACUUACCAAUCUUCAUUCAUUUGAUUAAUCAAAAUUAAUUUCACGUUAAUCUUUAUUCACUCAUUGGGUUCUUUGACCAAAUUCCUCCUCUAAGGAUUUAUCAUCGCAUACUUCACAUCUUCCUCUUUUACAAAUAUCACAUUUUUUUAAAUAACUUCAUCCCUUCCCUUUUUAGAUUUUUAUUUCUUCCUUGGAACUAUUAUAGUUUUCUCAACUUACUCAUCAUCACAUGUCGUGUUUCCACAAAUUACUCUUUUCUAAGAAAUAUCCUCCUUGCCAUAUUCACCAUUCAGAAUAACAAGAAUCUUCCUUAAUUGAUCAAUAAUUGGGAAGCACUAUGAAUAACUCAAGAAUUUAAAAGAUUCUCGAAUCAUGCUGAGGGGUCACAAGACCUUGAACUACGUCCAAGUUAAUAAGUAUUUCUUCCAACUUAAACCUAAACAGUCAUUAGACUGUAGGGACUCCUGUACUUAGGGUGAUUAGCCCUUCGUACCAUAUAUUGUGCACUAUGUCCAAGGUUAAGUAUUUUUUUCAACUUAAACCUAAACAGUCAUUAGACUAUAGAGACUCCUGUACUUAGGGUAAUCAACCCUUCGUACCAUGUAUUGUGCACAAACAUCUAAACGCUUCCGCGUAAUCCCCUAUAAAAGGGUUGUUCACCUCCGCUUUUCAACAUCUGAAUCCGCACCAAAACAAUUUGGUCUGGCAUAACUUUUCAAAGAACGCUUGAAUUUCAUAAACAUCUUUCAACAUUCGUCUAGCUGGAUCAAUUAGUAUAUACUUUUAGCAACAAUUCGGACAUUAAUCGAAAUAUAUAUACAUACAUUCUUAACCAACUCAAUUGGUAUACCUUUCUUAGCUUAAAGAAACCCAAAAAUCAAUUUUUAUGAUGUCAUGAUACGGUACUAUCUCGAUAGUACGUUGAGGAUUCAGUCAUUAUAUGACUUUGUUAUGCUACAUCAUACCAUAGUGGGCUGAAUCACAUCCAACACUAGGUUCAACUGCAUUGAUGACUUCCUCAUUUGUCAUAUUCGCAUUAUAUUUAGUGAUGCUUUAAUGACUACUAAAAAAUAAAAUACAUUUUGAUAUUUUUAAAUCAUUUUUUUGUCUAGCCGAAACAAUUAGCAUAGACAUACGAAAAAUGGUAUUGUUUUUAAAAAUCAUUGGUUUCAUCAUUUGAUCCAAUGUUUUUUAAGAAAAUAGAAGUGCAAACACCAUCAUAAAGUCAAUAAAUUUUGAAAAUCUAGCAAAGCUAGAAGAUCUGGAAUAUCUAAUUCUCUCCAUCAACUUCAUUACUUACUAGUUCAUUUUAUUUCUAGCACCACCAAAGCUCUUAUACUAAAUAUUCUUAUAUCUCAAUUUACAAACUUUCUAUACCCAAUAUAGUUCAUCAAACUUACCACGCAUUUAAAGUUUACGAACUUGUCACAAUAAUAUGAGUUUAGGAACUUGUCCUAGCAAUAUGUAGUCCAAGAACCCAUCAGGGACUGUCCAUAUGCUUAGGGGUUCAAAAACAUACAUAUGAUUAUGAGUCAUCAACUUACCAUAUGAAUGAGUUUUAAAAACUCGCACCUAAUACUAAUAUUAUCUGACUAAUCUUAAUGAUCUAUAACUAUCAAAUAUACACAUGAGAAAAGAAUCACAUUUUCGCCAUAUAUACAUUGAUAGCGUGACACUAACAUUCUAAUGAUUAUCAAUAUGAUAAACUAAGUGCAAGCACAAGACCCUCGCCCAUACAAAGGUUUGUACAACUCAGCCAUCACACGAGUCCUCAACUGAAAUCUCACCUAACUCUAUCUUGCUCAUAACUUGCUCUUUACUCGAUACGAAUUUUUCGUAUCUCAUCAUUUAUAACUCCUCGUGAGUUUGCCUCGUACUAUUUCAUAGUACAUUCUUUUAUAGCAUCAAGUUAUAACCAGAUAUAUAUAGAUCAUCUAUCAUUUUACAACUUAACCAGAUCACGUUGUGAUCUUAUUCUACAAUCAUUUUCUUUAUGCUCUUCUAUUUAUGACCAGUUUGGUUUUUACGAUCUUCCUCUCUCUCUAAUCAUGUUGUCUUUUGAUUAUUCAACUCAGGUGUUCUCGAUAUUUUGACUUUUUAAGUUCUUCUUUGAACCCACACAUACUAUCUUACCUUGUUUUAUAAGCAUUCUCUGAAUAUAUCAUCAAUUAAACUCUAUUUGAGUUCAUUAUUAUUAAUUUAAACACCUUCAUUUUGUAGACAUCGUCUAUUUAAUAACUAUAAUAUCCCGAGUGUUUAUGAUAACGAUCCUUAGCAAAGGAAAUGAAUGGGUUAAAGAGUAUAUAAUACUCAAAAUAUAAUUGAGUUCAAGUGAAAGUUAUGAAAUAAAGCCUAGAAUGUGUUAAAGUAAUGAAUGUAGUAGGAAAUAUAAAAUCUAUAUUAAGGUAAUGUGUUGAAGAUAUUCAACGAUAAAUUUUUGGAAAAGAGAUUUGGUGAAAACCUAGUAAGGGAGGUUUCGUUGAUUCCGAGGACGGAAUCCUUAUAAGGAGGGAAGGAUGUGACAGCCCAAAUUUUUCAUAAGUUAUUAAAAUAAGAAUUUAAUAAUUGAAAUUCUUAUUGCGAUGUGAUUAAUGUAACAAUCCAGAAUUUUAAUUGUAAUUAUAAAUGUUUAUUGAAUUAUAUAAAUAUUUAAUGAAUGUGUUUAUUGUUGAAUAAAUAUUUGUUUGUUGUUGAAUAAAUAUUUGUUUGAUUUGAUUUGGUUAAUUAUAUGUUUAAUAAAUAAUUAAUGGGUUAAGGAAAUUAAUUGUUAUGAGAUAAUAUUCUAAUUUAAUUUAAUAAUUAAGUUAGAGAGUUUAUAAUAAUUAAAUGAUUUAUUCAAUAAAUUGUUAUUAGAAUUAAUUAAAUUAAGUAUGAAAACUUAAUUAAAUAAAGUGUGAUAAAUAACUAUAUUAUAAAGGUGCUGUUAAAAUAAAUUAAAGGAGUUUAAUUUAGUUUUGCCAAACAAGGCUUAUAUAUAUUAAGUCUUUAAAUUUUAAAGGAUUUUUGCCAAACAAAGCCUUAUGGCUUUUGGAUUUCUUUUGAAUUUUGAAUUUUAUAAUAUUAAUUAAAUAAAUAAAAUAUAAAUAAUAUAUAUAUAUAUAUAUAUUUGGGUAACUGAUAACUUAUUAGUGUAAUAAGUGGAGCGUCAGUUUUUAUACGUUUUAAAAUUGUACGUUGGUUUUAUUUUAUUAUACGUAUACUGUUAAUUGGCUUGGUUAUCAGUUUUACGCUUUGAGUUAUCUGCUAAAUUGAGAAAAGAAAGAAAAGCUAGAGAGAGUUUUGAGAAAAAGAAAGGUUCAGAGAUUUUGAGGGAGUCUGAGAGAGAGAAGCAACAAGAGCUGAAUUCUUCACACUAUUUCUAGUGAUUAACAAGAAUUUCUUAACAACAAAAAGGUAUGUCUAUGACCUUAAUAUUAGAUACUAAUAUAUGUUUUACGUUAUAAUAUGUCUUUGUGUUCUUCUUUUUCACUAUGUAUAAAGUUUUUACAAAAUUCUUGUAAACCAUGUUUUUGUAAUUAUUAUACUAGCAUAUAUGAAUAUAUGAUUGUAUGUUUAACAUGUAUAUAAGAUUUUAUGCUAAUUACGUGUUAAAGAAAAAGGAAUUGGAUUUACAGUAAAUAUUUAUGUAUGAAGUGGUUGGUAGAAAUAUCAAAAUUGUAUAUGUUGUGAAAUUGAACCUUGUAGAUGAUAAUUGGGUAAGAAAUUCAGAGAAAUUCAGAGAAACAUAGUUUAAAGUAAUCAGAUUGGUUGUCAAUAGGAUUUACAGUGUUUAUCAACUGUCAGAAAUGGAGUUUUGUUUUAAAAACAUGUUUCAAAGAAUUAAGUUUUCUAAAAUCGUUGUUCAAUUGUUGGUAAUUGGUAUAUGGAUGAUUGUUAACGUUUAUGUGUAAUUUACGUGAAGUUAUACAUGUUAAUUGGUGUUAGAAAUUAAGACAUAGCUUUGUUCUGUGUUUUGUUUUGGGGUGUUCUGUAAUUCGGAGCCUCAGCGCCAAGUUUCGCGCCCCAGCUCUGAAUUUCGCGCCUCAGCCCCAAAAAUGGCCCAAAACUUCGCGCCCCAGGGCUGAAGUUCGCGCCCCAGCGCUGGAAAAGUGGUCUGGGUCGGACAGUUUUGACCUCCUGUAGUAAAAUGGCCAUAACGUUUUCAUACGAACUCCGAUUGAGGUGAUUCAAGAUGAUCCGGAACGAGGACGAAUAGACCUAUAACUUUAAUUCUUUAAGAUGUUCAAUUUGAGGUCGGAAACAGUGGUAAAAAUUGUCAUUUGUGGGAAUGAUAUGUAUUAGGAGGCAAUCGGAGGGCGUCGGGAAUGCACAUAUGCAAAUGUAGUGCUCCUGACGAUAAAAGAUGUUGUCUUAAGUUAUAAAACAUGAAUAUUAGUAAAUAUAAUGAUGCUUAACAUUAAUAAAUGAUGUAUUAGAUAAGUUGUAUAAGCAUACUAAAUACACACAAGAGAGACGAAUCGGGCGUGUGACGAAUGAACGUCAAAAUGCCUUGCCAAGUGUUAAUGAACUUAAAAAGUGUUUCCAUUCAAUUGAAAUGAAUAUUAUAAGAUAUGGAAUGGAUUUAAUAUAAAAUCAAUAAGUAGUCCUAGCAAGACUUAAGCACUUGAAUGAACUUCAAAUAUGAAAUAUAGUGAGUUAUAAGUCUAAAGUUAACACAAUCAAAUUGAACAUUGUGUAUUGAUUAAUAGGAAGGGUUAUAGGAUGUAGAUUAAAGUUUACAUUACAACUUCUAUGCGUUGCUAUAUGACUAAUAGUUAAUGUGAAUGAUUAUAUAAUUAUGUAGGGCACGUGAAGUACAAAUAUCUGUAAGCUGUUAAACUGUUAUUGGUAAACAACGAUCAAGGCAAGUCUUUCAGUUUCUAUUUGCUAUUUGAACUUGAUGAUUAACUAUUUUAAAUCUUUAUUGCAAAGAGCAUGAUGUGUUAUAUAUAUGUUAAAAGUUUGAAAUGUUAAAGUCAAUUUAUGACUAUGUUGAUUGACUAAAGCAUGCUGAUUUGAGUAAGGAUUCAAUCUUUAUACAUGUUAUAUGAACUGUAGCAUGUAUGUUAUAUGUUGAACAUGUUAUUAUGUGCUAUAUGAUGCAUGAAAACUACUAGAUUUUGUUGGGCUGUCGAGCUCAACCUUGUAAAUAACCACUUUUGCAGGUUAAAGAUUUAAGGUAAAGUAUGUGCUACUUGAAAGAUAUGAAACAGAUGUAAUACUUGAAGAAUUAUAUACUUUGGUUGAGUUAUGAUUAUUUAAUCCAUGUUUAAGUUUCCGAACAAUGUAUAAAUGUUGAAUUGUAAUAACGUUUUGCG